This 73-nucleotide transfer RNA is filed under the name Vicugna pacos (alpaca). RNAcentral's name for it is "tRNA-Leu (CAG) (tRNA-Leu-CAG-4-1)". It matches the Rfam family "tRNA". From Rfam's summary of the family: Transfer RNA (tRNA) molecules are approximately 80 nucleotides in length. Their secondary structure includes four short double-helical elements and three loops (D, anti-codon, and T loops). The record is from RNAcentral. Lineage: Eukaryota; Metazoa; Chordata; Mammalia; Artiodactyla; Camelidae.
GGAGGGUAUAGCUCAGUGGUAGAGCAUGUACUCAGAAUGCAUGAGGCCCUGGGUUCAAUCCCCAGUACCUCCG